Molecule: long non-coding RNA, 2673 nt
Organism: Cydia splendana
Lineage: Eukaryota; Metazoa; Arthropoda; Insecta; Lepidoptera; Tortricidae
Exons: 2
Source: RefSeq, a predicted model, not a curated record
CUAUAAAAUAGAUAAAGAUUGAUUUUAUGUAAAAGAAAUAACAAAACCCUAGAAUAGAGGCUUUAAAUGUUGUUUCUUUAUUCUUUACAGAGAAACGCAAUUUCGCCUUUAUUUCAUGCACCAUAGUGUGUCACUAUUAUAAAACAACAUUUUCUGCAAAUAUUUCAAGAAAUAUGGAAAAGUUAAGAUUUGAUUUUGCUGUAAAACCUGCGGCAGAUGGAAAAUCAAACGUUUUAUGUAUAUCAUCAAUCGCUACACCCGGUGGGCAGAUUUUUGGAUUACCACCGGAACACCAGCCUGUGCAAAUGCAUCCAGCUAUAAUAAAUACUUCCAACUUUGCGAAAAUACGGAAAUCGUUAACUAAAAGGCAUCAAACAAGAAAAAUUUGGAUAACUUUGACAGAAGAGAUAUCAAAAGUAUACUUGGAUGAGGAGGAAAACAUACAGUGUAAUGAUAUUUAUUUGGAAGAAAUUUCAGAAACAAAUGUUGAAUCUAUGCCAAGCGGUUCAAAUGAAACAUUGGAAAAAUUUUUAGAAAAAUUGCUUGACGAAAAACAGAAGAAGUCUGAAACACAAAAUUUAGGGAAAAUUGCAAAGGAUUUCAUGAUUAACAAAUUUUCCGGGCGAAACUCAAAUGCUUACCAGUGGAUACAAGAUUUUAACAAAGAAUGUGAACGUUUCCAAAUUGUUGAAGAUAGGAAAAAAAUUGAAAUUCUAAAAAACUUCUUGGAGUACUCCAGUGUUGAUUGGUACAGUUGUAUGCUAUUAAAAUUUACUGUAGAAUCUGAGUGGAGUAAAUGGGAGAAAAACUUCUGUGAGACGUUUGCAAACAAAGGAUGGUCACCCAUUAGAUAUGCUCUUACCUUUAAAUAUCAGGCAGGUUCGUUACUUGAGUAUGCCUUAAAGAAAGAAAAACUGUUACUGGAAAUAAGAAAAUCAACCGAUACUGGAACACUGAUCGACCUUAUAGCACUUGGUCUGCCUAAUUAUGUAGCGGAUAAAAUUGAUCGUGAAACUUUGCAACAGACGGAGGACUUAUAUAAUGAACUAGGAAAAUUGGAACACAUGGUUGGAAAGAAUAAAUAUGAUAAAAAAAAUCCUACAUCUCCAGAUAUGAAAUCCAAGAAAGUUGAAGAAAAAAAGCCAUGCCAAGUUUGUAUAACUGAAAACAAAGGGACACGCUACCAUCCCGAAGACAAAUGCUGGUUUAAAGGGAAAAAUCAAAAAGCAAUUGUGAAAAGUGUGAAUAACUCAGAAUUGGAAGUUGAGCUGAAUGAGCAGAAUCCAAAAAACUAGAAGUACCACCAUUAAUAAAAGUAAAGUUGCUGUUAAAUGAUACAUUAAAAGUGUCUGGGAUUUAUGACCCAGGUUCGAAUGUGUCAUUGAUAAAUUCUAAAUUAUUAAAGAUAAAAGAUAAAGAAAAGACAACUGAUAUAGAAACAGCAAACUUGAAUACUAUUAAUGGUGCGAAGAAAACAAAAGGUAUAAUAACACUCAAAAUAAAAAUAUAUAAAAUUGAGUCAAAUAUGGAUAUUUUCGUCAUAGAAAAUCUUCCUUAUGAUUUUCUAAUAGGUUUGGAUUGUAUAAAAAAAUUCAAAUUAAUGCAAGAUGAUGAAUUGAACAUUUUACAAUAUAAUAGUCCAGAAGAUAAAAAGAAGUUCCUGAAUGGAGAGAAUAUAGAAAAAGAAGAGUUGAUAAGUAAUUCUUCAAAUGUAUCUAACGUCAAUAUUCCUGAUGUACUGGGUGACGAAGAUGACGAUAUUACUUGUACGGAGAUAUUACUAAAUAAAGAGAUUAAAAGCAGAUAUGAAAUAAAUUUUAACGAACAUAUUAAUUCAGAUGAAUUUGAAAUGUCAGUAAACCAUCUAGAUUCAUAUCAACAAAGAGAGAUUGACAAGUUAAUUGAAAAAUAUAAAUCAGUCUUUGCUAAGGAUAAAUAUGACAUUGGCACUGUACGUGAUUAUGAAGCUCAUAUAGACUUGAUGGUGGACAAGUACUGUAGCAAACGUCCAUAUAGAUGCAACACAGAAGAUAGAAAAGAAAUAGAAGGACAAAUAUCGAAACUACUAAAGAACAAAUUAAUUGAAGAAUCUUAUAGCCCGUUUGCUGCUCCGGUGACUUUGGCAUAUAAAAAAGAAGAUGGAAAACGAACAAGGUUAUGCAUAGAUUUUAGAGAGUUAAACAAAAUCGUCGUUCCACAGUCACAACCAUUCCCGCUGAUUGAGGAUUUAAUGGUAAAAACUGUAAACUGUAAGUACUUUUCUACUUUCGACGUAAAUUCCGCUUUUUGGUCAAUACCUUUGAAAAUUCAAGAUAGAUACAAAACUGCAUUUGUUACCCAAGGAGGCCAUUUUCAAUGGACGUGCCUUCCGUUUGGUUUAAAGACUGCUUCAGCAAUUUUCCAAAGAAUAUUGAGCAAUAUCAUUAGAAAACAUAAGCUUUCUGAUUUUGCGGUAAAUUUUAUAGAUGACAUCUUAAUUUUUUCGAAAACUUUCAAUGAACACAUACAACAUAUAUCUAGACUACUCGAGGCAAUACUAAGAGAAGGGUUUAGACUUAAGUUCUCUAAAUGUAGUUUUGCAAACAACCAUGCUAAAUAUCUCGGUCAUAUAAUCGAGAACAAUUCAGUCAGACCACUUAAAGACUACUUAACCGCAGUGAGGGAUUUUCCAGU